RNAcentral lists this long non-coding RNA (1860 nucleotides) under Marmota monax (woodchuck). Lineage: Eukaryota; Metazoa; Chordata; Mammalia; Rodentia; Sciuridae. The record is from RNAcentral.
UGUCGACAUAACACCCGGUUCAUGAUGGGCAGCCCAGGUCACCUGGUGGCCCAUGGCCAAGCAUUCAGUUCUCACCACGCCCAGUAGCAGGCCAAGAAUUAUCUCUCAAAAAGAAAGUAGCUAGGUAGAAAGGAUGGCUGGGCUUUGUCCCUAACCCUAAGGGCCUCCGCUGUGACUCAGCUAUGGGACCUGCCAGAGGUUCCACACAGUGUCCCACUGACACCUCAAGCACUGUCAGGUCUGCUGAGUCACGUGGCCUGAGUGGAGGAGCAGCUGGACCCGUGGCAGGGCCUUCUUAAGAGGGUUCAGAUGAGCAACUCAUCCCUCACCUUGGAAGGGGCAUCUCAGCACACCCCACACCACUGACCCUUGGAUGUCUCACUGGUAGACGUUUUCCCCAUGCUAAUUCUUGCUCACUAGGUCCCAGCAGCAUACUGGACCAAGAAGAAGAUGUAUCUUUCACCCACAAACACAGCAGAGACAGCACAAGAAACCCAGUCUCUGAUGGCAUCCUUGAGACACAGAAUCAAACCACCCUGAAGUCAAGCCUGCUUUCCCACUGUCUUCACAAGGACCUCUGGAAAAUCAGAACUGUUCACCUGGAAAGCAGCUGUGACACAUGAAACCAAAGCAAUCGUAUGACACGUGAACAGUAAGCAGCAGUUCUCUUCCACAAGAUGGUGGGCCAGAGAGCCUGGAAAAACGCCCCCUCUACAGAGUAGCCAGAAAGGCUGAGUGAGCUAAUAUGUCACUAGUAACCUUUAACAUUGCAUCAGACUUUGCAAGAAAAUUUGGGAAACCUCAUCCAUGAAAGUGAAGUGGCAGCACAGGGUGAGAGCCGUGAGAUGUUGGGCCUCUGGAAUCCUCUGUGUGUACCCAUCCCACUGAAGGGUGGCAGCCAGUAACUUGAACUUGUCUCUAGUCUUUGCUCCCAAUGAAAGAGGAAUCUUUGCUCUUCUGAGCAUGUAUGACUACAAGCAAGCCUUCUUGUGAGAAUUUAGGGUUUGAACCCAAAUUCUGACUGUCUUCUAUGGUCAGAAAAGCUUCUAGCCAAGAAUUCAAUCUAAAGUGGUCCUAAAAUAAAUAUAACUGAUUCUGUGAUCCUAGAUUAGCCAUGCCGCAGGCACUUGGUAGAAACAAACUCCAACCCUUUCUAGGGGAAUGAAUGCCCAUCCACCCAAGACACAGUGUCCCCAGGUCACCAACAAAAUGAGCUCAAAAAUUUAAAAAGCCAAGAACAACAACAGCUGUAGAAUCAGACCUCAGAUAUUGGCAUGAUUAGACACAGAUGAGAAAAUAAGAAAGUUUAUUGUGUAAAAAAAAGCGGGGGGCGGGGGGAAUCUAAAAAUAAAAAUGAAGCAAGAAUUGUUUCAAAUCACCCGGGAGAACUGAAGAGAUAAAAACUAAAGGGACCUUCUAGAAACAAAAUAAUAUAAACUUUUAAUAGGGGAAGAGGGAAUCUGGGAGGUAGAAUACCUACCUGAAGAAGUUAUCUGAAAUUCCUACAGGAAGAAAAGCUAUUUAAAAAAUAUGAAAAAGAACCUAAGUGGUGUGGAGACUAAAUGGAAAGUUCUGAAGAAGUCUAACUAGACUUCCAAAGUGGUCAUAGAGUAAGGAAGAAUCAAUGCUUUAGGCAGUAUGGGUUGCAGAUUAUCUACAAUUGAUACAGAUCACAAGUUCUUAGGUUUUUGAAGCACAAUGAAUUCCAAUCAGAAAAAAAGAGGAACCCAUAGUUAAGAAAAUUGCAGAAUCCCUCAGAUAAAGAAAAAGAUCUAGGAACCGGGGAUGUGGCUCGGUGGUUGAGACUACGCCCUGGGUCCAAUCCUCGGCACUGGAAUAAAAAAAAAGAAAGAAGAAGAC